AUCAUCAAGAAAAUUCGAAAUAGGUAGAAGUAGAGUAGAAAACGAGAAAAUCAAACUAAAAGCCAUUUAAAAGAGUGGAGAUUAAAGAGACAAAAAAAUUAGGAUUUUCAAACAGACUUUGGAAACGAAGAACCUGGCUGUGAAACUCGUAUAGAAGGCAUCCUCGUUCAAAGAUCACCAGAGAAACACCGGAAACAGAUCCCCACAUAGAGCUUCAGUGACCGUCUUCCAUGGCAGAAGCUGCUAGGCUUCAAGCUUGAGAGAAAAUCAUGAUAUAGGGAUGUCAUGGUUGCUGGGAAUCGAGAGGAGUGAGGGAGCAGUGAGCUGGUAUGACGAUGGAGGCCAUGAGAGAACUAGAAGGUUCAAAGGAGAUGAAAAGUUAGAGAGGGUCUGAGAGUGAAAGGGGAUACAAGGGAG
RNAcentral lists this long non-coding RNA (417 nucleotides) under Nicotiana benthamiana. RNAcentral describes it as "long non-coding RNA (NBEN_LNC014440)". Lineage: Eukaryota; Viridiplantae; Streptophyta; Magnoliopsida; Solanales; Solanaceae. The record is from RNAcentral.